RNAcentral lists this ribosomal RNA (384 nucleotides) under uncultured bacterium. Its description in RNAcentral is "bacterial SSU rRNA". It matches the Rfam family "Bacterial small subunit ribosomal RNA", at positions 29 to 416 of the family's 1533-position model. The record is from RNAcentral.
AUUGAACGCUGGCGGCAUGCUUUACACAUGCAAGUCGAACGGUAACAGGCCUUCGGGCGCUGACGAGUGGCGAACGGGUGAGUAAUGCAUCGGAACGUGCCCAGUCGUGGGGGAUAACGCAGCGAAAGCUGUGCUAAUACCGCAUACGAUCUGCGGAUGAAAGCGGGGGACCUUCGGGCCUCGCGCGAUUGGAGCGGCCGAUGUCAGAUUAGGUAGUUGGUGGGGUAAAGGCCCACCAAGCCGACGAUCUGUAGCUGGUCUGAGAGGACGACCAGCCACACUGGGACUGAGACACGGCCCAGACUCCUACGGGAGGCAGCAGUGGGGAAUUUUGGACAAUGGGCGCAAGCCUGAUCCAGCAAUGCCGCGUGCAGGAAGAAGGCC